CCUGGCGACGAGAGCGGGGAUUUUUCUGAUUGGCUGACGCUUGUACAGCGAGGGCGAGGCUGCAGGGCGACCAGGCAAGUCUGGAGUCUUCCCCAGCAACAAAACCCCUUCCACCUGGCUGUAAGAAGCCGAACCGAACCAGAGUUCGGACUCAGUACAGAAAAAAUAUUCAAAAAUGUUACUAAACUUCUUUCUGAUGCAAUAUCCUUGUUAGAAAGAUCAAAUGUAUUUCUUCUUUUCCUUUGAAAGUGUAACUAGAAUACAUUUGUCUUUAAGGAAAGGUUUACUAUGGGGUAAUAAAACAGUCCAAAUGUCAGGUUGGAUCCGGUUCAGGAACCAUCAGUGGCGAUGAAGAAACUCCAUUGAGAGUGGAUAAAAACCUCCUGACCCGGUCCAUUUGUGCCACAAUCACCAUUCAGGGGAGUCCUGGCAGGUCCAGCAGCAAAGAGACACAUCUGGAUCAGCUGGACUCCAGAACCUGCAGAACCACAGACACCUGAGCUCACCACAACACAACUCUGACAAACAGCACAAAGUUUAUUAAAACUACAUUACCUGCAAUGCAAGUGUGAAUCUUGUUGCUGGAAAUGGUGAAGGAAUUUGCUAAACGACAAAAUAAAAAAAACAAAAUUAAGUUUGUCCAAAUAUGACAAAAAUAGACUAAAAAGAUGGAGAAACUUUUAAUUUUUUUUAUAAAUAAGCUGCCUUGUUCCUGUUUAGAUUAUUCAUCUCAUAAAAGGCUUUAAAGCAAAGAGCGACGGCUCCUAAAAGUAGCUUGUUUGAUAAUAAACUUUAUGAUGGGGAAAUAGUUGUUGACCUGUCGUUCAGGUCAUAAGGCAAUAUAUCUUUAAAAGCAUAGAAAC
Molecule: long non-coding RNA, 863 nt
Organism: Oryzias melastigma (Indian medaka)
Lineage: Eukaryota; Metazoa; Chordata; Actinopteri; Beloniformes; Adrianichthyidae
Exons: 2
Source: RefSeq, a predicted model, not a curated record